UGGCGAACGGGGUAGGAGUAACAACGUCGGGGCGAACCUACGCCCAAAACGAAGGGGGGAUAACACUUGGAAACAGGUGCUAAUACCGCAUAACCAUAGUUACCGCAUGGUAACUAUGUAAAAGGUGGCUAUGCUACCGCUUUUGGAUGGGCCCGCGGCGCAUUAGCUAGUUGGUGGGGUAAAGGCUUACCAAGGCAAUGAUGCGUAGCCGAACUGAGAGGUUGAUCGGCCACAUUGGGACUGAGACACGGCCCAAACUCCUACGGAAGGCAGCAG
Molecule: ribosomal RNA, 276 nt
Filed under: uncultured bacterium
Lineage: Bacteria
Description: partial 16S ribosomal RNA
Rfam family: Bacterial small subunit ribosomal RNA
Source: RNAcentral